CCAUGGGCCGCACCGGAAGCGGCUGCCAUGGGCCCAGCCUAAGCCUUUUGGAGUUGAAAAAGGUCACUUCAGGAACCUUUCAAGGUUCAACCCAUCACUGGAGAGAGAGGAUAUAAGGACAACUCAUUCGAAGAACACUUUGGAGAGGUCAAAUACCGAAAAGAAAGUACAUUUGAUUUACUGGAUAAAGAACACUGUUUGAAGAUCAGGUUUCAACCAAAGUGAUAAAUAAAUGGAUGCUGAGCACACAAACCUCAAAUAUCACCCCUUAAGAACACUGGAGAGAGAUCCCUGCCCAUAACGAGCUCAUAGUCUAGAGGGACAAUGGUUAAUUCUUUGCCUUAGUCCCAGCCAAGCUACAGGUUAGAAGCCCUGCUUCACGGGGUUUGAUCUAAGGAUCAGCCCACAUUAGGAUCUGGUAUGGUACCUCAACACUGGAAAAAUGAUUUGUUGAGAGGCUGAGGGAGAACAGAAAUCAGUCAAGAUAGGUUCAAGUACAAUUCCUAUCGACAUCUAUGUUCAGUAGCACUAUAUGGUUGCUCUGCUGAAAGAUAGUAGCCAUUGAUGGAUGUGAUCAGGUAUUAGCCAGAGUCUGGGAGAAUGAAGUGGUUAGGGUCUAAAGUUUAAGAUAUUUAAGAUUCAAGAAGUAUUUAAUAGCUGAAUUUUUUGUUAAUAGAUGCAGGUCUUCUGAUCUACCUUUCUACAGUCUGUUCAGAACAAUCUUUUUGAUUGCCACUAUGUCUUCCUCCUCAACCCCUCACUUCCAACAGUUCUCAAGAGGGACACAGCAGAGAAAACCCAGUUAACUGAGCCUUUGAUCAGGUCAGCAAAAUGUUUCCUACUUGAGAAUUAAACGGGCUCUCCUGAA
Long non-coding RNA from Ornithorhynchus anatinus (platypus), 868 nucleotides. RefSeq lists it as uncharacterized. NCBI's taxonomy places the organism in Eukaryota, Metazoa, Chordata, Mammalia, Monotremata, Ornithorhynchidae. The transcript is spliced from 3 exons. The record is from RefSeq and is a predicted model, not a curated record.